RNAcentral lists this ribosomal RNA (445 nucleotides) under uncultured bacterium. Its description in RNAcentral is "bacterial SSU rRNA". It matches the Rfam family "Bacterial small subunit ribosomal RNA", at positions 35 to 526 of the family's 1533-position model. The record is from RNAcentral.
UGUCAGCCGCCGCCGUAACACAUGCAAGUCGAACGAACCUUCGGGUUAGUGGCGGACGGGUGAGUAACGCGUGGGAAUCUGCCCUCAGGAGGGGGAUAACGGCUGGAAACGGCCGCUAAUACCCCAUAUGCCGAGAGGUGAAAUGAAUUUCGCCUGAGGAUGAGCCCGCGUCUGAUUAGCUUGUUGGUGAGGUAAUGGCUCACCAAGGCUUCGAUCAGUAGCUGGUCUGAGAGGAUGAUCAGCCACACUGGGACUGAGACACGGCCCAGACUCCUACGGGAGGCAGCAGUGGGGAAUUUUCCGCAAUGGGCGAAAGCCUGACGGAGCAACGCCGCGUGAGGGAUGAAGGCCUCUGGGCUGUAAACCUCUUUUCUCAAGGAAGAAGAUCUGACGGUACUUGAGGAAUAAGCCACGGCUAAUUCCGUGCCAGCCGCCGCAGUAACAC